RNAcentral lists this ribosomal RNA (389 nucleotides) under uncultured bacterium. RNAcentral describes it as "bacterial SSU rRNA". It matches the Rfam family "Bacterial small subunit ribosomal RNA", at positions 28 to 419 of the family's 1533-position model. The record is from RNAcentral.
GACGAACGCUGGCGGCGUGCUUAACACAUGCAAGUCGAGCGGUAAGGCCCUUUCGGGGGUACGACGAGCGGCGAACGGGUGAGUAACACGUGGGUGACCUGCCCUCAGCUCUGGGAUAAGCCUGGGAAACCGGGUCUAAUACCGGAUAUGACUCCAUGACGCAUGUUGUGGGUGGAAAGCCUUGUGCGGCUGAGGAUGGGCCCGCGGCCUAUCAGCUUGUUGGUGGGGGAUGGCCUACCAAGGCGACGACGGGUAGCCGGCCUGAGAGGGCGACCGGCCACACUGGGACUGAGACACGGCCCAGACUCCUACGGGAGGCAGCAGUGGGGAAUCUUGCGCAAUGGGCGAAAGCCUGACGCAGCGACGCCGCGUGAGGGAUGACGGCCUGG